AAAUUCUUCAAGAUGGAUCAUCUGGGAAAACCUGGCUCCACAACCCAAAGGACACAUCUGGAAAACUACCUUUCAUCAUAAAAGUGUCUCAUCUCUCCUCCAGGAAGAGACACCUGCUGGGAGCCACAUAGAAAGGUUG
Long non-coding RNA from Sceloporus undulatus (fence lizard), 139 nucleotides. RefSeq lists it as uncharacterized. The transcript has 3 exons. Lineage: Eukaryota; Metazoa; Chordata; Lepidosauria; Squamata; Phrynosomatidae. The record is from RefSeq and is a predicted model, not a curated record.